This 423-nucleotide long non-coding RNA is filed under the name Gossypium raimondii (Peruvian cotton). Its description in RNAcentral is "long non-coding RNA (GRAI_LNC003473)". Lineage: Eukaryota; Viridiplantae; Streptophyta; Magnoliopsida; Malvales; Malvaceae. The record is from RNAcentral.
GCAGGCUGCGAAGAGCAUUGUUGCUAAUGGACUAGCUAGGAGGUGCAUCGUGCAAGUCUCCUACGCCAUUGGUGUACCUGAGCCAUUGUCUGUAUUUGUGGACACUUACGGUACUGGAAAGAUCCCAGACAAGGAAAUUCUCAAGAUUGUGAAGGAGACCUUUGACUUCAGACCAGGAAUGAUUGCCAUCAAUCUUGAUCUUAAGAGAGGGGGCAAUAGCAGGUUCUUGAAGACUGCUGCGUAUGGUCAUUUUGGUCGGGAUGACACAGAUUUCACUUGGGAGGUUGUCAAGCCACUGAAGUGGGACAAGGUCCAUGCUUAAUUGGAGCUUCUUCACAUUGAUUCUAUGUCUGAUUUAUCUUAUCUGCUGUCUGCUACCAUAUGAGUCUGCUUUUCUUACAAUUUCCUUUAAUUUCUUUUUUU